UACGAGAGGUCCAAGCGUUAGUCGGAAUCACUGGGCUUAAAGGGUGCGUAGGCGGAUCGGUAAGUGUCUUGUGAAAGCCCCUGGCUCAACCAGGGAACUGCAUGGCAUACUGCCGAUCUUGAGGAAGGUAGAGGCGGGCGGAACGAUAGGUGGAGCGGUGGAAUGCGUAGAGAUCUAUCGGAACGCCAAGGGUGAAGACAGCCCGCUGGGCCUUUCCUGACGCUGAGGCACGAAAGCGUGGGGAGCAAACAGG
RNAcentral lists this ribosomal RNA (253 nucleotides) under uncultured bacterium. Its description in RNAcentral is "partial 16S ribosomal RNA". It matches the Rfam family "Bacterial small subunit ribosomal RNA", at positions 524 to 776 of the family's 1533-position model. The record is from RNAcentral.